UGGGGAAUAUUGCACAAUGGGCGCAAGCCUGAUGCAGCCAUGCCGCGUGUAUGAAGAAGGCCUUCGGGUUGUAAAGUACUUUCAGCGGGGAGGAAGGGAGUAAAGUUAAUACCUUUGCUCAUUGACGUUACCCGCAGAAGAAGCACCGGCUAACUCCGUGCCAGCAGCCGCGGUAAUACGGAAGGUGCAAGCGUUAAUCGGAAUUACUGAGCGUAAAGCGCACGCAGGCGGUUUGUUAAGUCAGAUGUGAAAUCCUCGGGCUCAACCUGGGAACUGCAUCUGAUACUGGCAAGCUUGAGUCUAGUAGAGAGGGGUAGAAUUCCAGGUGUAGCGGUGAAAUGCGUAGAGAUCUGGAGGAAUAACGGUGGCGAAGGCGGCCCCCUGGACGAAGACUGACGCUCAGGUGCGAAAGCGUGGGGAGCAAACAGG
This 429-nucleotide ribosomal RNA is filed under the name Chloroflexota bacterium. Its description in RNAcentral is "Chloroflexi bacterium partial 16S ribosomal RNA". It matches the Rfam family "Bacterial small subunit ribosomal RNA", at positions 355 to 776 of the family's 1533-position model. The record is from RNAcentral. Lineage: Bacteria; Bacillati; Chloroflexota.